RNAcentral lists this ribosomal RNA (497 nucleotides) under uncultured bacterium. Its description in RNAcentral is "partial 16S ribosomal RNA". It matches the Rfam family "Bacterial small subunit ribosomal RNA", at positions 28 to 507 of the family's 1533-position model. The record is from RNAcentral.
GAUGAACGCUGGCGGCGUGCCUAAUACAUGCAAGUCGAGCGAACAGACGAGGAGCUUGCUCCUCUGACGUUAGCGGCGGACGGGUGAGUAACACGUGGAUAACCUACCUAUAAGACUGGGAUAACUUCGGGAAACCGGAGCUAAUACCGGAUAAUAUAUUGAACCGCAUGGUUCAAUAGUGAAAGACGGUUUUGCUGUCACUUAUAGAUGGAUCCGCGCCGCAUUAGCUAGUUGGUAAGGUAACGGCUUACCAAGGCGACGAUGCGUAGCCGACCUGAGAGGGUCAGCGGCAACACUAGAAGUGGGACAGGGCCCAGACUCCUAGGGGGGGGAGCGGGGGGGUAUCUUCCGCAAAGGGGGAAGCUUUGCGGGAGCAGCGCGGAGGGGGAAUUAAGGGUCUUCGAGUCGUAAACCUUUUUUUUUGGGGAAAAAAAAUUGUGGAAGUAACUAUGCACGUCUGAAGGAUCCUUAAUCAGAAGCCCACGCUAACCUCCGUG